AACACAUAAUUAAAGCAAACUAUAAUUGUGCACCAUAAGCAAGAAAUAAUCCUACAAUACCUUGUUCAACUUUAAAACAUAAGAAAUGAUUAAUAUACAGAAAGCUGUUAAAAUUUAUGUUGGGAUAUGUGUAAGGUCAUGUCUAGGUGACAAACAACUGCAUGUGCAAGCAUGCAGCAGCUAUCCGUCACCCAAACAUGACAGUCAUCUCUUCAUCAUUGGAGCUAGUGACCAAAGCCAACUGAUAGAGAUUGAAACAGAAUCAUUAUGAUUGAUAAAAUAUAUGGUUUUGGCACACACUGCUGUAUUAAGGGACUCUGUUAGGAGUCCCAUGUUUCCUCUCCUAUUGUUUUGUUUGGUCCUCGACCAAUUUAUCUGUGUGGAGACCCAGAAUUUGGGUUGGAUGCAAGAUAUCACUCACCACCACAUCAAAAAUUACAGAAGAAAUUUGAAUGGAACAGACAUCUUAAAAGGAAAACAAACUACUUCAUAUUAAGCACUAAAAAGUUUUACACCUGCUUUUUAGUGCUUAAUAUGAAGUAGUUACUUUUUACGAGUAAUAACAUAGCAGUUUGAGAGCUCUUAACCAUGAAAAACAAAC
This 601-nucleotide long non-coding RNA is filed under the name Androctonus crassicauda. Lineage: Eukaryota; Metazoa; Arthropoda; Arachnida; Scorpiones; Buthidae. The record is from RNAcentral.